AGCCCGAGCUUGGGCAGGAGGCUCGGUUCACGUUUGAUGAAACGAUGCGGCCGGGCUGGGGGAUGCGUGUAAGUCGGGUGUCGGAUCCCAAGUCCCGAGAGGCACAGAGCCUGAGUGCCCCCGCCAGCCCCUCUAAGCCCCGGCAUCCGGGCGGCGACCGCAGCGGCGGGGACAGGAGGCGCUGCAGCUUUAAGAUUUCUCCCGGGCGUCCGGGUUGCCAGGCGCGGUUGCCAGGGGCCUGCGCCGCGCUGUGUCCGGCCUGCGCGCACCGGCCCCGGGUUUCCGCCGCCGCCGCCGCCGCCGGGCCGCGUCGGGCUCUGCUCCUCCGAACCGUCUGGCGGACUUGGCACCGGCCCCCGCUCCUCGGUGCCCCCGCGUGAUGUUCAAACCUCGCGGCUGUCCACGGCUAAAUGGGGUCAGCAGUGACGGGUGGAUGGCAGGACCCCCUCAGGUCUCUGCAAGAAGAAAGGGAGAGGAGGGGCCGCCCCCCAGCCCUGCUGCUGUCUGGGGUGGAACCCUUGAGGCAGGCAGGUCAGCACCUCUACCCAGGCCUCCCGUGCUGCCCAGGACCCUCGUUCAGUUUGGCCCUGUGUGGCUGCCUCGGGCUACCCAGCUGCCUGCCAACCCCCAGUUGGCCCGCCGGUCCUCAGCGCCUGUAGCCCUCUGCCUCACUUCCUAUUAACACAAACCACGUGGGACCCUCGCGGUGGCGUCUGCAGGCAGGAGAGGAAGCCGUGGCCGCCUAGUGGCUGCUGGGAAGCCUGGCAGGAAGGGGCAUCUCCACCAGGCGUCUCCUGGGAGACAGCAAGCUCCCUGGAGAAGGGACAUUUGGAAAUAAAGCUCCUGCCGCGCGCUCUC
This is a long non-coding RNA of Oryctolagus cuniculus (rabbit), 858 nucleotides long. RefSeq lists it as uncharacterized. Lineage: Eukaryota; Metazoa; Chordata; Mammalia; Lagomorpha; Leporidae. The record is from RefSeq and is a predicted model, not a curated record.